Molecule: ribosomal RNA, 497 nt
Filed under: uncultured bacterium
Lineage: Bacteria
Description: partial 16S ribosomal RNA
Rfam family: Bacterial small subunit ribosomal RNA
Source: RNAcentral
GAUGAACGCUGGCGGCGUGCCUAAUACAUGCAAGUCGAGCGGAAAGACGAGGCGCUUGCUCCUCUGACGUUAGCGGCGGGCGGGUGAGUAACACGUGGAUAACCUACCUAUAAGACGGGGAUAACUUCGGGAAACCGGAGCUAAUACCGGAUAAUAUAUUGAACCGCAGGGGGCAAUAGUGAAAGACGGUGGUGCGGGCACGUAUAGAUGGAUCCGCGCCGCAUUAGCGGGUUGGUAGGGUAACGGCUUACCAAGGCAACGAUGCGUAGCCGACCUGUGGGGGGGGUCGGCCACCCUGGAACUGAGACACCGUCCUGGCUCCUGCGGGACGCCGCAGUAGGGUAUCUUCCGCAGUGGGCGAGAGCCUGACGGAGCGACGCCGCGUGAGUUAUGACGGUCUUCGGAUCGUAAUACUCUGUUACUAGUGAAGAACAAAUGUGGCAGUAGCUAUGCCCGUCUUGACGGUACCUAGUCAGAAAGCCCCGGCUAACUACGUG